RNAcentral lists this ribosomal RNA (253 nucleotides) under uncultured bacterium. RNAcentral's name for it is "partial 16S ribosomal RNA". It matches the Rfam family "Bacterial small subunit ribosomal RNA", at positions 524 to 776 of the family's 1533-position model. The record is from RNAcentral.
GACGUAGGGCGCGAGCGUUGUCCGGAUUUAUUGGGCGUAAAGAGCUCGUAGGCGGCUUGUCGCGUCGUUCGUGAAAACCCGGGGCUCAACUCCGGGCUUGCGGGCGAUACGGGCAGGCUAGAGUUCGGUAGGGGAGACUGGAAUUCCUGGUGUAGCGGUGAAAUGCGCAGAUAUCGGGAGGAACACCGGUGGCGAAGGCGGUUCUCUGGGCCUGUACUGACGCUGAGGAGCGAAAGCGUGGGGAGCGAACAGG